Rhinopithecus roxellana (golden snub-nosed monkey) is the source of this 106-nucleotide small nuclear RNA. Lineage: Eukaryota; Metazoa; Chordata; Mammalia; Primates; Cercopithecidae. The record is from Ensembl.
UAACUCCCUUUGCCAGCACAUAUUCUAAAAUUAUAAAGAUACAGAGAAGAUUAGCGUGGUCCCUGAGCAAGGAUGACAGAAAAUUUGUGAAGCAUUCCAUAUUUUU